Long non-coding RNA from Ailuropoda melanoleuca (giant panda), 2175 nucleotides. RefSeq lists it as uncharacterized. The transcript is spliced from 3 exons. The record is from RefSeq and is a predicted model, not a curated record. Lineage: Eukaryota; Metazoa; Chordata; Mammalia; Carnivora; Ursidae.
ACUCAGGAACACUGAGGGACACGGGUGGGUCCCCACAGGAAUCUCCCGUCAGCCUUGCUGCUGGCUCCGCCCCCUGCAGGGUAGGGUGCUGCCCCGGAGCACUCUGUGUUCCAGAAAACCCCAAAAUAACCCAACUUUGCUGUCCAGCUGCUAUUUCCGUCCAUCUUGUUUAAUUAUUCAAACCCAAGUUGGGGAGUGAACUAUAAAAAGCUCUCCUUCUUGGGGACCCAGGAGAGCUGGGAGGCUCGCCAGGUUGCGAUAAGAGCAGAGCACGUGGUUUGGAUGAGGUCACUGGGUCCGGCCUCCUGCCUGAAAGUUCCAUCUGUUUGCCUGCUUCCUCUGCUAGAAGGCCGAUUCCAGGCCUCCCUCCCCGAGCCUCCGAGCCUCCCCAAGCCCUCAUCCCUGCACCCCUCCCAGCCUGUCCUGCCUGGGAGCUGGGCCCCACCCGCCUUCCUUUACUCUGCAAGCGUUUCCCCUCAGACAACCCUUUGCUGACUGCUUCCUACUCCUGGUUCUUAUCCCACAUAUCCUAUUAUCAGACCCCAGCGUCUGAGACUGGGGAGGGGGGCAGGAAGUGCAGGUAAAGAGGUCAAGCCAGGUGGACACAGGAAGAGGGACACCGUGCCCUUGGAGGGCACUCUGUCAGUGGGGGGCUGGGGGGGGCUUUUCUGGGUGAGGCAGUUUCCUGACUGUCACAGGUGCUAAGCCUCUUCAAGGGCUUCUCUUGGGGACUCUGAUAUUGUGGCUGAAGGGACAGAGGGAAGGCAGCAGGAAGGAGUUUGUUUUGGGGGGCCUAAUCCUCUUCCGGUUGGCCGCAAGUUCAGCGUCAGUUCCAGUGAACCUGCAGUCUAGGGCCGGGGAAUGGGGAAGCUGGGUACCCCUGGGGACCUGUUCUGUGACCCCCUCCCAGCACAGGCCUUUCCUAGGAAGGUGAUAUCGAGGGGUGUGGCCAUGGUUACCAUGGCAACGCUGGGAGCGAGGGGAUUGGUGCAGGUGAUGGGUUGCUCAGUCUGAGCAGGAGGGGCCGGGCCACCCCCCACGAUGGACCGGAGGAGGCGGGCUUUGAGCCCCAGGAGAGGCAGAGACCACAGGGGCAGACCCAGAGACCCAGGGCAGAAUUGGGGGUGGGAGGGACGUCCAGUGUGGGAGGGGAAGCCUCAGGCUGGCAGAAGCUGGGGCAGGACUUUCCAAGAGUCAGCGUGGGACCUCAGUGUUCACGGAGGACCCUGGGUUUUACAUUGGGCCUAUUUUGGGGCUUGUUCCCACACACUCCCUGGCAGCAGCUCCCGUGAAGUCCAGGCUGCCCGCCCGCCCCGCCCCUGCCACGGCUCCACUAGAGCUCCAGGGGAGGGUGCUGAGGUGGGGGAAGAGGCCGGCUGUUGCUAAGCAACCAGAGGCUGUGUACCUGGAGGGCAGGGGAGGGAGCCCUGGCAGGGAUUGUAGGGGCGGGGGAGGCAGGGAGGCGGUGAAAGGGCCGGGUGGACAAGGGUCAGGCCCCCUCCCCCAUCCCCCUCGGGCCAGCUGUGGAGGAGGGGUGUACUUGUCACCCAGUAAGUGUGUUGACGAACCUGUAAGUGUGUGGCGCUUCUCCAGGACGCCGUGAGCACACAGCGCCCGUGGGGCUAGCUCUGAGGACAGGCAGGGGACGGGAGGCGCAGGGGAGCAAGGACAGGGGGCAGCAGGAAGUCAGGCGCGCAGCCAGAGUUAUCUAGAAAGAGCCGAGAAAGCGUCCUCUGUUGGAGAGAGACAGAGACAGCCAGCGAGAGAGGGAACACAAGCAUGGGGAGUGGGAGAGGAAGAAGCAGGCUCACAGCAGAGGAGCCUGACGUGGGACUCGAUCCCAUAACGCCGGGAUCACGCCCUGAGCCGAAGGCAGACGUGCAACCGCUGUGCCACCCAGGCGCCCCAAGCCACAGUAUGUUUGUAUGCAUGAAGGUAAAUAUAUAGAAGAAAGGCCCAGAAGGAUCUGCACCAAGAUACAACAGGGCUUCCCCGUGGAAAAGAUGGGGUACAGGUGUGCUUUACCUGGCUUCAUAUGUAGGACUUGAGUCCUUGGAGAUGAUAUACACAUUAUUUUGUUUAGUGAAAAGGAAACAGAAAAGAAGAAAAAAGAAAGAGAAGCCAAGCAAAACUUUGCUGUAAGCCCUUCAUAAUAAAAGGUUUGAUAGAUUGGUA